RNAcentral lists this ribosomal RNA (500 nucleotides) under uncultured bacterium. Its description in RNAcentral is "partial 16S ribosomal RNA". It matches the Rfam family "Bacterial small subunit ribosomal RNA", at positions 29 to 523 of the family's 1533-position model. The record is from RNAcentral.
AUUGAACGCUGGCGGCAUGCCUUACACAUGCAAGUCGAACGGCAGCGCGGACUUCGGUCUGGCGGCGAGGGGCGAACGGGUGAGUAAUACAUCGGAACGUACCCUGUUGUGGGGGAUAACUAGUCGAAAGAUUAGCUAAUACCGCAUACGACCUGAGGGUGAAAGUGGGGGACCGCAAGGCCUCACGCAGCAGGAGCGGCCGAUGUCUGAUUAGCUAGUUGGUGGGGUAAAGGCCCACCAAGGCGACGAUCAGUAGCUGGUCUGAGAGGACGAUCAGCCACACUGGGACUGAGACACGGCCCAGACUCCUACGGGAGGCAGCAGUGGGGAAUUUUGGACAAUGGGGGCAACCCUGAUCCAGCAAUGCCGCGUGUGUGAAGAAGGCCUUCGGGUUGUAAAGCACUUUUGUCCGGAAAGAAAUCGCGCUGGUUAAUACCUGGCGUGGAUGACGGUACCGGAAGAAUAAGCACCGGCUAACUACGUGCCAGCAGCCGCGGUAA